Molecule: ribosomal RNA, 447 nt
Filed under: uncultured bacterium
Lineage: Bacteria
Description: SSU rRNA
Rfam family: Bacterial small subunit ribosomal RNA
Source: RNAcentral
AGAGCGAACGCUGGCGGCAUGCUUAACACAUGCAAGUCGCACGACGGUUUCGGCCGUAGUGGCGGACGGGUGAGUAACGCGUAGGUAUCUAUCCUUGGGUGGGGGAUAACCGUGGGAAACUGCGGCUAAUACCGCAUGACACCUGUGGGUCAAAGGCGCAAGUCGCCUGGGGAGGAGCCUGCGUACGAUUAGCUAGUUGGUGGGGUAAAGGCCUACCAAGGCUACGAUCGUUAGCUGGUCUGAGAGGAUGAUCAGCCACAUUGGGACUGAGACACGGCCCAAACUCCUACGGGAGGCAGCAGUGGGGAAUAUUGGACAAUGGGCGCAAGCCUGAUCCAGCAAUGCCGCGUGGUGAAGAAGGUUUUCGGAUUGUAAAGCCCUUUCGGCGGGACGAUGAUGACGGUACCCGCAGAAGAAGCCCCGGCUAACUUCGUGCCAGCAGCCGAC